UACGAAGGUCCCGAGCGUUGUUCGGAAUCACUGGGCGUAAAGGGAGCGUAGGCGGCGCGGUAAGUCAGAUGUGAAAUCCCGGGGCUCAACCCCGGAACUGCAUCCGAUACUGCCGUGCUAGAGGAUUGGAGAGGUAGCUGGAAUUCUUGGUGUGGCAGUGAAAUGCGUGGAGAUCAAGAGGAACACUCGUGGCGAAAGCGAGCUACUGGACAAUUCCUGACGCUGAGGCUCGAAGGCCAGGGUAGCGAAAGGG
Molecule: ribosomal RNA, 253 nt
Filed under: uncultured bacterium
Lineage: Bacteria
Description: partial 16S ribosomal RNA
Rfam family: Bacterial small subunit ribosomal RNA
Source: RNAcentral